Molecule: ribosomal RNA, 666 nt
Filed under: Triticum aestivum (bread wheat)
Lineage: Eukaryota; Viridiplantae; Streptophyta; Magnoliopsida; Poales; Poaceae
Description: partial small subunit ribosomal RNA
Source: RNAcentral
AUGGAGUGGACGACGGUGGAGACGGCUGACGGGGCCAAGCUGAGCGUGCGGCUCUUCAAGCCGGCGGCGCCGGUGGAGGACGCGGAGGACGUGGCGGUGGUGCUCGUGCACCCCUACACGAUCCUCGGCGGCGUGCAGGGCCUGCUGCGCGGCAUGGCCCAGGGCCUCGCGGAGCGGGGCCACCGCGCCGUCACCUUCGACAUGCGCGGCGCCGGGCGCUCCACCGGCCGCGCCUCGCUCACGGGCUCCAGCGAGGUCAGGGACGUCGUCGCCGUCUGCCGCUGGGUCGCCGACACCCUCAAGCCGCGCGCCGUCCUCCUCGUCGGCUCCUCCGCCGGAGCACCAAUUGCGGGAUCUGCAGUUGAUAAGGUUGACCAGGUGGUUGGCUAUGUUAGCAUCGGGUACCCAUUUGGUUUAUUGGCCUCAAUCCUAUUCGGCAGACAUCAUGAUGCUAUCCUCAAGUCUGAGAAACCAAAGUUAUUCAUCAUGGGAACCAAAGAUGGCUUUACGAGCGUAAAGCAGCUGCAAAACAAGCUCAAGUCUGCUGCUGGACGGGUUGAUACACACUUGAUUGAAGGAGCCGGUCACUUCCAAAUGGAAGGUCCUGCUUUUGAUGCCCAGAUGGUAGAUCUCAUUGUCAAUUUUAUCAAAUCUUUGCCCAAAUAG